Molecule: ribosomal RNA, 468 nt
Filed under: uncultured bacterium
Lineage: Bacteria
Description: partial 16S ribosomal RNA
Rfam family: Bacterial small subunit ribosomal RNA
Source: RNAcentral
GACGAACGCUGGCGGCGUGCUUAACACAUGCAAGUCGAACGGAAAGGCCCUGCUUUUGUGGGGUGCUCGAGUGGCGAACGGGUGAGUAACACGUGAGUAACCUGCCCUUGACUUUGGGAUAACUUCAGGAAACUGGGGCUAAUACCGGAUAGGAGCUCCUGCUGCAUGGUGGGGGUUGGAAAGUUUCGGCGGUUGGGGAUGGACUCGCGGCUUAUCAGCUUGUUGGUGGGGUAGUGGCUUACCAAGGCUUUGACGGGUAGCCGGCCUGAGAGGGUGACCGGCCACAUUGGGACUGAGAUACGGACCAGACUCCUACGGGAGGCAGCGGUGGGGAAUAUUGCACAAUGGGCGGAAGCCUGAUGCAGCAACGCCGCGUGCGGGAUGACGGCCUUCGGGUUGUAAACCGCUUUCGCCUGUGACGAAGCGUGAGUGACGGUAAUGGGUAAAGAAGCACCGGCUAACUACGUG